RNAcentral lists this ribosomal RNA (2903 nucleotides) under Escherichia coli. RNAcentral's name for it is "bacterial LSU rRNA". It matches the Rfam family "Bacterial large subunit ribosomal RNA". Lineage: Bacteria; Pseudomonadati; Pseudomonadota; Gammaproteobacteria; Enterobacterales; Enterobacteriaceae. The record is from RNAcentral.
UUAAGCGACUAAGCGUACACGGUGGAUGCCCUGGCAGUCAGAGGCGAUGAAGGACGUGCUAAUCUGCGAUAAGCGUCGGUAAGGUGAUAUGAACCGUUAUAACCGGCGAUUUCCGAAUGGGGAAACCCAGUGUGAUUCGUCACACUAUCAUUAACUGAAUCCAUAGGUUAAUGAGGCGAACCGGGGGAACUGAAACAUCUAAGUACCCCGAGGAAAAGAAAUCAACCGAGAUUCCCCCAGUAGCGGCGAGCGAACGGGGAGGAGCCCAGAGCCUGAAUCAGUGUGUGUAUUAGUGGAAGCGUCUGGAAAGGCGCGCGAUACAGGGUGACAGCCCCGUACACAAAAAUGCACAUGCUGUGAGCUCGAUGAGUAGGGCGGGACACGUGGUAUCCUGUCUGAAUAUGGGGGGACCAUCCUCCAAGGCUAAAUACUCCUGACUGACCGAUAGUGAACCAGUACCGUGAGGGAAAGGCGAAAAGAACCCCGGCGAGGGGAGUGAAAAAGAACCUGAAACCGUGUACGUACAAGCAGUGGGAGCACGCUUCGGCGUGUGACUGCGUACCUUUUGUAUAAUGGGUCAGCGACUUAUAUUCUGUAGCAAGGUUAACCGAAUAGGGGAGCCGAAGGGAAACCGAGUCUUAACUGGGCGUUAAGUUGCAGGGUAUAGACCCGAAACCCGGUGAUCUAGCCAUGGGCAGGUUGAAGGUUGGGUAACACUAACUGGAGGACCGAACCGACUAAUGUUGAAAAAUUAGCGGAUGACUUGUGGCUGGGGGUGAAAGGCCAAUCAAACCGGGAGAUAGCUGGUUCUCCCCGAAAGCUAUUUAGGUAGCGCCUCGUGAAUUCAUCUCCGGGGGUAGAGCACUGUUUCGGCAAGGGGGUCAUCCCGACUUACCAACCCGAUGCAAACUGCGAAUACCGGAGAAUGUUAUCACGGGAGACACACGGCGGGUGCUAACGUCCGUCGUGAAGAGGGAAACAACCCAGACCGCCAGCUAAGGUCCCAAAGUCAUGGUUAAGUGGGAAACGAUGUGGGAAGGCCCAGACAGCCAGGAUGUUGGCUUAGAAGCAGCCAUCAUUUAAAGAAAGCGUAAUAGCUCACUGGUCGAGUCGGCCUGCGCGGAAGAUGUAACGGGGCUAAACCAUGCACCGAAGCUGCGGCAGCGACACUAUGUGUUGUUGGGUAGGGGAGCGUUCUGUAAGCCUGCGAAGGUGUACUGUGAGGUAUGCUGGAGGUAUCAGAAGUGCGAAUGCUGACAUAAGUAACGAUAAAGCGGGUGAAAAGCCCGCUCGCCGGAAGACCAAGGGUUCCUGUCCAACGUUAAUCGGGGCAGGGUGAGUCGACCCCUAAGGCGAGGCCGAAAGGCGUAGUCGAUGGGAAACAGGUUAAUAUUCCUGUACUUGGUGUUACUGCGAAGGGGGGACGGAGAAGGCUAUGUUGGCCGGGCGACGGUUGUCCCGGUUUAAGCGUGUAGGCUGGUUUUCCAGGCAAAUCCGGAAAAUCAAGGCUGAGGCGUGAUGACGAGGCACUACGGUGCUGAAGCAACAAAUGCCCUGCUUCCAGGAAAAGCCUCUAAGCAUCAGGUAACAUCAAAUCGUACCCCAAACCGACACAGGUGGUCAGGUAGAGAAUACCAAGGCGCUUGAGAGAACUCGGGUGAAGGAACUAGGCAAAAUGGUGCCGUAACUUCGGGAGAAGGCACGCUGAUAUGUAGGUGAAGUCCCUCGCGGAUGGAGCUGAAAUCAGUCGAAGAUACCAGCUGGCUGCAACUGUUUAUUAAAAACACAGCACUGUGCAAACACGAAAGUGGACGUAUACGGUGUGACGCCUGCCCGGUGCCGGAAGGUUAAUUGAUGGGGUUAGCGGUAACGCGAAGCUCUUGAUCGAAGCCCCGGUAAACGGCGGCCGUAACUAUAACGGUCCUAAGGUAGCGAAAUUCCUUGUCGGGUAAGUUCCGACCUGCACGAAUGGCGUAAUGAUGGCCAGGCUGUCUCCACCCGAGACUCAGUGAAAUUGAACUCGCUGUGAAGAUGCAGUGUACCCGCGGCAAGACGGAAAGACCCCGUGAACCUUUACUAUAGCUUGACACUGAACAUUGAGCCUUGAUGUGUAGGAUAGGUGGGAGGCUUUGAAGUGUGGACGCCAGUCUGCAUGGAGCCGACCUUGAAAUACCACCCUUUAAUGUUUGAUGUUCUAACGUUGGCCCCUGAUCGGGGUUGCGGACAGUGUCUGGUGGGUAGUUUGACUGGGGCGGUCUCCUCCUAAAGAGUAACGGAGGAGCACGAAGGUUGGCUAAUCCUGGUCGGACAUCAGGAGGUUAGUGCAAUGGCAUAAGCCAGCUUGACUGCGAGCGUGACGGCGCGAGCAGGUGCGAAAGCAGGUCAUAGUGAUCCGGUGGUUCUGAAUGGAAGGGCCAUCGCUCAACGGAUAAAAGGUACUCCGGGGAUAACAGGCUGAUACCGCCCAAGAGUUCAUAUCGACGGCGGUGUUUGGCACCUCGAUGUCGGCUCAUCACAUCCUGGGGCUGAAGUAGGUCCCAAGGGUAUGGCUGUUCGCCAUUUAAAGUGGUACGCGAGCUGGGUUUAGAACGUCGUGAGACAGUUCGGUCCCUAUCUGCCGUGGGCGCUGGAGAACUGAGGGGGGCUGCUCCUAGUACGAGAGGACCGGAGUGGACGCAUCACUGGUGUUCGGGUUGUCAUGCCAAUGGCACUGCCCGGUAGCUAAAUGCGGAAGAGAUAAGUGCUGAAAGCAUCUAAGCACGAAACUUGCCCCGAGAUGAGUUCUCCCUGACUCCUUGAGAGUCCUGAAGGAACGUUGAAGACGACGACGUUGAUAGGCCGGGUGUGUAAGCGCAGCGAUGCGUUGAGCUAACCGGUACUAAUGAACCGUGAGGCUUAACCUU